CUCUCCCUCUUUACCCACUAG
This 21-nucleotide microRNA is filed under the name Homo sapiens (human). Its description in RNAcentral is "hsa-miR-6867-3p". Lineage: Eukaryota; Metazoa; Chordata; Mammalia; Primates; Hominidae. The record is from miRBase by way of RNAcentral.